GGAGGAGGGCGACGGCGCGGAGGGCGCCGCUGCGGCAGGAAGCAAGAUGGCCGCCUCGUGGGCGCCGCUGUGAGGAAUGCGGGGCACCAGCGAGGCCGGCUCCAGGGGGGCGGCCGGGCCUCUCCCCUCGGCGGCGGCGCUGCGUGUCGGGGCGGCAGCGGGGGGGCCGCCUAGGGCCCCAUCAGCCCGCUAAAGUGCUGCACGUAAAGCAUUCUGGGUUCUAACUGAAAACAAAAGACCUCAGAGGAGGAAGCAAAGAGUUUUUAAGGUUCUGCAGAGCCAAGGCUACCAUUUGAAUGGCUGCAGAUGUUUGCUGCGUUGAUGGAGAUUAAAAAAAAAAGAAGAGAUUGUGAGAGAUCCGCAAUAAUAUAUGCAGUGCUAAAUAUCAACAAGUCAAUGGAUGGAAUCGCACUACAGUGGAGUUUUACAGAUGAAGAAGACAGAAUGGUGUAAUAUGAGUUGGAAAGGAUGUUGUCCAGAGAAUACCUGUCUUGCAUUUUGUGUUCCUUAAAGGGAUAUUAUCGCCUUGAAAUCUAUCCUUUUAAAAAAUAUCAAUUAAAAUUGAUUUGAGUACUGGCUGAAAAUGUCUGCCUGUUUCUUUUGUGCCUUUUUGCUAUUUUUUUUGGAUAAAGAAAAGUUCACUUUUGACAUGUGAAUGACGCACACAAAUAAUCCAACUUUAUUUUUAAG
Molecule: long non-coding RNA, 690 nt
Filed under: Dromaius novaehollandiae (emu)
Lineage: Eukaryota; Metazoa; Chordata; Aves; Casuariiformes; Dromaiidae
Description: lncRNA (ENSDNVG00000005309.1)
Source: RNAcentral